RNAcentral lists this ribosomal RNA (440 nucleotides) under uncultured bacterium. RNAcentral's name for it is "partial 16S ribosomal RNA". It matches the Rfam family "Bacterial small subunit ribosomal RNA", at positions 338 to 795 of the family's 1533-position model. The record is from RNAcentral.
CCUACGGGAGGCAGCAGUGGGGGAUAUUGGACAAUGGGCGAAAGCCUGAUCCAGCAACGCCGCGUGAGUGAAGAAGGAUUUCGGUAUGUAAAGCUCUAUCAGCAGGGAAGAAAAUGACAGUACCUGACCAAGAAGCACCGGCUAACUACGUGCCAGCAGCCGCGGCAAUACGUAGGGGGCAAGCGUUAUCCGGAUUUACGGGGUGUAAAGGGAGCGUAGGCGGUUAUGGAAGUCUGGAGUGAAAGCCCGGGGCCCAACCCCGGGACUGCGUUGGAAACUGUGUAACUGGAGUACAGGAGAGGCAGGCGGAAUUCCUGGUGUAGCGGUGAAAUGCGUAGAUAUCAGGAGGAACACCGGCGGCGAAGGCGGCCUGCUGGACUGAAACUGACGUUGAGGCGCGAAAGCGUGGGGAGCAAACAGGAUUAGAUACCCUUGUAGUC